This is a long non-coding RNA of Pistacia vera, 381 nucleotides long. RefSeq lists it as uncharacterized. The record is from RefSeq and is a predicted model, not a curated record. The transcript is spliced from 3 exons. NCBI's taxonomy places the organism in Eukaryota, Viridiplantae, Streptophyta, Magnoliopsida, Sapindales, Anacardiaceae.
UCCCCUCAGCCCAUCGUCCCGCCUCGUAUCUCUCCGCACUCAAUCCAACCAAACCGACCUCUCCGACCUUUCCACUUCUUCCGACUCCACCAUCGACCCUUUGCACUCGACUUCAUUAUCGAUGCAAUAUGGAUUUCAUAUCACCUACUGUGACAUGGGUACUCUUUGUUACUGGGUUCAGGUCACACAAUCAGGGUUCUUCCCUAAAGCCUCAUGUCAUAGGAAACCUUUUACAUGACUGGUAUUGGAUAAAUAACAUAAUACACAUAUAUUCUAAAGCAUAUAAAUGUUUCUCUGAAUCAUAUAUCCUAUCUGGUUUUUGAGACAACUACUGCCCUUAUAAUUUAAUCAUUUUCAAAGAUCCCUUUAUAAAUUUAAAAA